RNAcentral lists this ribosomal RNA (1406 nucleotides) under Escherichia fergusonii. Its description in RNAcentral is "bacterial SSU rRNA". It matches the Rfam family "Bacterial small subunit ribosomal RNA". Lineage: Bacteria; Pseudomonadati; Pseudomonadota; Gammaproteobacteria; Enterobacterales; Enterobacteriaceae. The record is from RNAcentral.
GCUUGCUGCUUUGCUGACGAGUGGCGGACGGGUGAGUAAUGUCUGGGAAACUGCUGAUGGAGGGGGAUAACUACUGGAAACGGUAGCUAAUACCGCAUAACGUCGCAAGACCAAAGAGGGGGACCUUCGGGCCUCUUGCCAUCGGAUGUGCCCAGAUGGGAUUAGCUUGUUGGUGGGGUAACGGCUCACCAAGGCGACGAUCCCUAGCUGGUCUGAGAGGAUGACCAGCCACACUGGAACUGAGACACGGUCCAGACUCCUACGGGAGGCAGCAGUGGGGAAUAUUGCACAAUGGGCGCAAGCCUGAUGCAGCCAUGCCGCGUGUAUGAAGAAGGCCUUCGGGUUGUAAAGUACUUUCAGCGGGGAGGAAGGGAGUAAAGUUAAUACCUUUGCUCAUUGACGUUACCCGCAGAAGAAGCACCGGCUAACUCCGUGCCAGCAGCCGCGGUAAUACGGAGGGUGCAAGCGUUAAUCGGAAUUACUGGGCGUAAAGCGCACGCAGGCGGUUUGUUAAGUCAGAUGUGAAAUCCCCGGGCUCAACCUGGGAACUGCAUCUGAUACUGGCAAGCUUGAGUCUCGUAGAGGGGGGUAGAAUUCCAGGUGUAGCGGUGAAAUGCGUAGAGAUCUGGAGGAAUACCGGUGGCGAAGGCGGCCCCCUGGACGAAGACUGACGCUCAGGUGCGAAAGCGUGGGGAGCAAACAGGAUUAGAUACCCUGGUAGUCCACGCCGUAAACGAUGUCGACUUGGAGGUUGUGCCCUUGAGGCGUGGCUUCCGGAGCUAACGCGUUAAGUCGACCGCCUGGGGAGUACGGCCGCAAGGUUAAAACUCAAAUGAAUUGACGGGGGCCCGCACAAGCGGUGGAGCAUGUGGUUUAAUUCGAUGCAACGCGAAGAACCUUACCUGGUCUUGACAUCCACAGAACUUUCCAGAGAUGGAUUGGUGCCUUCGGGAACUGUGAGACAGGUGCUGCAUGGCUGUCGUCAGCUCGUGUUGUGAAAUGUUGGGUUAAGUCCCGCAACGAGCGCAACCCUUAUCCUUUGUUGCCAGCGGUCCGGCCGGGAACUCAAAGGAGACUGCCAGUGAUAAACUGGAGGAAGGUGGGGAUGACGUCAAGUCAUCAUGGCCCUUACGACCAGGGCUACACACGUGCUACAAUGGCGCAUACAAAGAGAAGCGACCUCGCGAGAGCAAGCGGACCUCAUAAAGUGCGUCGUAGUCCGGAUUGGAGUCUGCAACUCGACUCCAUGAAGUCGGAAUCGCUAGUAAUCGUGGAUCAGAAUGCCACGGUGAAUACGUUCCCGGGCCUUGUACACACCGCCCGUCACACCAUGGGAGUGGGUUGCAAAAGAAGUAGGUAGCUUAACCUUCGGGAGGGCGCUUACCACUUUGUGAUUCAUGACUGGG